CAGGGCCUCUGUAUCUCCCUCUGCAGAUGGAUCCUUGACUUCCUAACUGGAAGACAACAAUCUGUGUGGAUUAGUGAUAAUAUCUCCUCCUCACUGACAGACAAACAGACAGACAUACUUUAUUGAUCCCGAGGGAAAUUGGGUUUCGUUACAGCCGCGCCAACCAAGAAUAGUGAAGAAAUAUAGCAAUAUAAAACCAUAAAUAAUUGAAUAAUAAGUUAAUCAUGCCAAGUGGAAAUAAGUCCAGGACCAGCCUAUUGGCACAGGGUGUCUGACACUCCAAGGGAGGAGUUGUAAAGUUUGAUGGCCACAGCGGUUUGAUCGGGGCACGACUGUGCAAGUGCGUGGACGUCAACCGGUGAGAGCAGCAAGAAGAGUUUAAAAGGAGACAGCUUUACAGAGCGGGCAACUGUGUAGAAGGAGACCGAGCAGGAAGACUCUGGUUCAGUGGGGCUUCGGCGAUAACAUGUCGAGGUGAGGAGCUGUGGAGCGGGACACAAGGAAAGAUGCCGCAGAAUGCCAUAGGAAGGAGAGCAUCCAUUGCAAGAGGUGCUUUGUGCAGAUGAAUGACUCCAAGGAGGAAGGGCCAAUACUCGGGAGAGAGCCAGUUCAUUCAAGAUGGUCUUCAAGGAAAGUUUAGAAUAUGGCAGGUGCUUUCACGCAGACUGUGGGUCCAAUGCAUGAGUAAAGUGCACCAAUCGUGAGUUGGAGAGCUACGAAAGAGGAGGCGGUGCACAGGUCCUGGGGUGAUGUUUAAAAGGGGAAAACUUCAUGAGAACUCAGCUAUAACCAGAGCACCAGUUAUGUGUUGGAGAACAGGGAAGGUUCAGGCAUAAAAAGAAGGCACUGCCUGGCAAAGCGGUCAUCGACGGAGUGGUCUAAGUCAGAGUGGUAGGGCUUUAGGUAAUUCAGGCUUCGGCAAGGUAAGUGGGUAAGUGGACUUCAUUUUUUUCCUUGCAUUUUUUGAGGAAUAGAGAGCAUGUCUGUAGGGUUAGUACUUCGCUCUGAGUGUCAGACGUGGGAAUCCUGGGAAUCUUCCCAUCUCCCAGAUGACCACAUCUGCGCCAGGUGCACCUAGAUGCAGCUUCUGAGAGACUGUGUUAGGGAUCUGGAGCUGCGGCUUGAUGACCUACAGCUUGUGAGGGUAUGUGCCAGGAGAUAGAUAGGAGCUACAGGGAGUUAGUCACCCCAAGGGUGCAGGAAUUAGACAAGUGGGUGACUAUCAGGGAAGGGAAGGAAAGAGCUCAGAUAGUAGAGAGCACCCCUAUGGCCAUUCCCCUCAGUAAUCGUUAUCACAUUUUGGACACUAUUGAGGGGGAUGACCUGAAAGAGGCGACCACGGCGAUCAGCACUGAGUCUGUUUCCAUGGUGCAGAAGGGAGAGGAUGAGGAAUGUGGUGGUCAUAGGGGAUUCCAUAGUGAGGGAAACAGACAGGAGGUUCUGUCAGCCUGAUAGAGAUACCCGCAUGGUGUGUUGCCUCCUAGGUGCCAGGGUACGGGAUGUCUCGGAUCGGGUGCAGAGUAUUCUGAGGGGAGAGGGUGAACAGCCAGAACUCUUGGAACCCGUUGGUACCAACGACAAAGGUAGAAAAACAGAGCAGGUCCUGAAGAGAGAAUUCAGGGAUUUAGGUAGGAAGCUGAAAAGCAGGACCCACAGGGAAGAAAUCUCAGGAUUGCUGCCUGUGCCAUGUGAUAACGAGCACAAGAAUAGCAUGAUCAGGCAUGUUAAUGUGUGGCUGAGAGACUGGUGUAGGGGGCAGUGCUUCACAUUCCUGGAUCACUGGGGCCUCUUCUGGGGGAGUUACAACUUGUACCAAAAGGACAGGUUACACCUAAACCCAAAGGGGUCCAAUAUCGUAGCAGGCAGGUUUAAUAGAGCUCUUAGGGAGGGUUUAAACUAAUUUGGCAGGGGGAUGGGAACUGGAGUGAUAGGGCUGAGGAAGGGGAAAACAGAAAUAAAUCAAAGAUAGCGUGCAAAUGAGAUGAUAGAAAGGACAGGAAGGAAAUGAGGCAUUAUCACAGCCAGUGGCAUGAGUUACAGGGCAAUAGAGGUGUGUUGCAGUUAAAACAGAAAGUAACAAAUACUGGACUGAAAGUAUUCUACUUGAAUGCACGCAGCAUAAGGAAUAAAAUGGACGAUCUUGAAAUUCAUAUUCAGAUUGGCAAGAAUGACGUUGUGGCCAUCUCUGAAACUUGGCUAAAGGAUUACUGACAUUGAGAGCUGAAUGUCCGAGGAUAUACGGUGUAUCAGAAAGAUAAGUUAAUAGGCAGAGGAGGUGGAUUGGCUCUGUGUAUAAGAAAUAAUACUAAAUCAUUAGAAAGAGAUGACAUUGGAUUGGAAGGUGCAGAACCUCUAUGGGUUGACUUAAGAAAUGGAAAGGGUAAAAGGACCCUAAUGGCAGUUGCAUACAGGCCUCCAAACAGCAGCCAAGAUUGUGGAUUACAAAUUACAGCAGGAGAUAGAAAAGGCGUGUCAGAAGGGCAAUGUCAUGAUAAUUGUUGGGGAUUUUAACAUGAAAGUGGAUUGGGAAAACCAGGCCAGGUCAGAGAGUGAAUUUGUAGAAUGUCUAAGGGAUGGCUUUUUAGAACAGCUUGUUGUUGAGCCCACUAGGGCGCGGGUCGGCAACCCGCGGCUCCGGAGCCACAUGUGGCUCUUUUACGUCUGUGCUGCGGCUCCCUGUUGCUUUGGGAAAUAAUUGGUUGUGGCGACCCUUUUCCUGGCAAAUCCGAACCGACUCACAAUUAGAUAGCCUACGGGGGUUUGCGAGCACAGAGCUUUGGAGCCUCUGCGCCAUGGGGGGCAGGUUGAGGGAGGCUUAAA
This is a long non-coding RNA of Hypanus sabinus (Atlantic stingray), 2820 nucleotides long. RefSeq lists it as uncharacterized. NCBI's taxonomy places the organism in Eukaryota, Metazoa, Chordata, Chondrichthyes, Myliobatiformes, Dasyatidae. The transcript has 3 exons. The record is from RefSeq and is a predicted model, not a curated record.